GAUGAACGCUGGCGGCGUGCCUAAUACAUGCAAGUCGAGCGAACGGACGAGAAGCUUGCUUCUCUGAUGUUAGCGGCGGACGGGUGAGUAACACGUGGAUAACCUACCUAUAAGACUGGGAUAACUUCGGGAAACCGGAGCUAAUACCGGAUGAUAUUUUGAACCGCAUGGUUCAAAAGUGAAAGACGGUCUUGCUGUCAUUUAUAGAUGGAUCCGCGCUGCAUUAGCUAGUUGGUAAGGUAACGGCUUACCAAGGCAACGAUGCAUAGCCGACCUGAGAGGGUGAUCGGCCACACUGGAACUGAGACACGGUCCAGACUCCUACGGGAGGCAGCAGUAGGGAAUCUUCCGCAAUGGGCGAAAGCCUGACGGAGCAACGCCGCGUGAGUGAUGAAGGUCUUCGGAUCGUAAAACUCUGUUAUUAGGGAAGAACAUAUGUGUAAGUAACUGUGCACAUCUUGACGGUACCUAAUCAGAAAGCCACGGCUAACUACGUG
This 497-nucleotide ribosomal RNA is filed under the name uncultured bacterium. RNAcentral describes it as "partial 16S ribosomal RNA". It matches the Rfam family "Bacterial small subunit ribosomal RNA", at positions 28 to 507 of the family's 1533-position model. The record is from RNAcentral.